This is a long non-coding RNA of Malania oleifera, 851 nucleotides long. RefSeq lists it as uncharacterized. The record is from RefSeq and is a predicted model, not a curated record. NCBI's taxonomy places the organism in Eukaryota, Viridiplantae, Streptophyta, Magnoliopsida, Santalales, Ximeniaceae. The transcript is spliced from 2 exons.
GGGUCUGAUUUUAUAAUAAAAUAAGCUAUCUUAGGGAACAACUAUAAAUUCGUGCAUAAACCCAUGCUCUAUUCCACUGAUCUAAGCUCGAUCUUCUACUCAAAUCCAAUCGAGCGUGUUUGUUCUUCUUUGAAUUCUUACUUGGAAUUCCUCAUUGCCCACGCCAACUAUUUCAGCUCGCUUUUGUUUUUGAUAUUCCCAUUACGUUUUCUAGCUCACAGAGUUCCCAUGGCGAGCAACGGUUCCCGAGCAGUUGAUCUGGGAGAUUGUCAAGAAUAUCAACUCCUUUCUCGUCAAAGAGCUUGAUAAUGAAAGCGUUCGAUUCAGUAAGGAGAGCGACCAGUAAUUCAGCACUCAGGUUGUAUUCAGCAGAAUUCUGAUAAAAACCAGAAGGAAUGUCGUUGAUCGCUGCAUUGUUUUGAUGCCUUCUUUUUGCGACUUGGAUUAUUAUUGUUGCGAAUCAUAAUGAAGACAUGUUUGUCUUUUUUGGAGGGGUUGUCAACUUUAUUAUGAAGCUACUGCAUGGCCCUUAAGUGGGGAAGGUGGUGUCCUAUGUGGGAAAAAGUGACCCUAUUAAACAAGUUGCCUCAUACAUAUUUUGCACCAAAAUGGAUUGCACUGCAGUGAGAAGAAAGAGUAGGAUUGUUGUGAGGAUAAAUUUCGGUUUUUAUGUGUGUUGUUUUUUAUCACGAGGAUACAUUUGUUUCAGCACAAUGAGGCUUCGUAGGAUAUUUGUUUAGACUGUCUAGCUGACUACUCAUAACUGCUCCCAUAUUUAAGUAUUAUGGUGAGAUAUAAAAUGUAGGAUUGUGGGUACUUGUGCAGUUGAAUUUUUAUGAAAAUUAGAAAAA